This is a long non-coding RNA of Brachypodium distachyon (stiff brome), 3077 nucleotides long. RefSeq lists it as uncharacterized. Lineage: Eukaryota; Viridiplantae; Streptophyta; Magnoliopsida; Poales; Poaceae. The transcript has 2 exons. The record is from RefSeq and is a predicted model, not a curated record.
CACAAUUGAAAGUAUGUAGUAUGAAAUAUAUAUGUAAUAUGCAGUAUGUAGAACAUAGUAUACAUUUUAUUUCAAGUUUUCAAAAAUCUUGAAAUUUUUACCACAGCAUUGCAACAUAAUAUAAGAUGGUUCAACGAUGUGAUCCGAAAAAUACUUCUCGUGCCCGUGGCAAAAAGAAAAGAAUCUCAAUUCGCCAGUGGACAUAUAUAAGCUCCUGUUUUUCUUUUCUUGCGACCGCUGCGCCACAACAUUACAACCAUAAUAUUGUCAUGAUUUUGUGGUAAAAAGAAUGAAAACUUUUACACUGUCCAAUCCUAAACUAGCGUACGAAUUAGCCUGCAUACCCAAAAAUAAAAUUAUAUAUAUGCUAGCUCCACCGUGAGUUUUUCUUUUCUUUUUCACAAAUCAUCAAUUAUGCGCUUACCUUCAUUACUACUUCCGUUCCUAAAUGUAAGAUGUUUUAACUUUGUAUUAAGUCAAACUUUUUAAAAAUUGACCAAAUUUAUACAAAAAUUUACCAACAUCUAUAACUCUAAAUUAGUUUGAUUAAAUCCGUCAUAUUAUAUAUCUUCAUAGUAUAUUUAUUUGGAGUGGUAGACGUUGGUAGAUUUUCUCUAUAUAUAUCAUAUAUUAUCUCUAUCUCUUCUCUAGAGAUCUCCAGUACUCCCUUUUCAUCGUCCAAUUGUUUUGAACCGUCAGAUCUAGUGGACGCCUUCAGAUCGUCCCCUCUCGGUCCACGCCGCCUCGUAUUUUCCUGCGACCGCUGCGCCACCUCACCUCUGCCUCUGUUCGCUGCCUCACCUCCGCGGCGCGCGCCUCCUCUCCCCCUCCACCGCCACCUCAUCUCCCCCUCCGACCACCGCCUCCGCUCUCCAGCACACUGGAGGGCUAGCGGCGCGGAGCGCGUGCGACGGCGGUUCCGGCGACUCGCACGUCCUAGAGGUCGUGGCCAGGGCUUGGCCACUCCGACGGCCAGCUGCCCAGGAGUUCCUCCACUUCCUCUGCGCUGGACAACCAAUCGGCACGCAGCAACGAGCAAAGUGGGGCGCCAAGGUUAUUGCAAUCUUUUGGUGCAGCAAUGCAUCCCGGCCUCUCUUCCUCCUGUCCAAUUACUUUUUGUGAUGAUUCUCGUCCAAUUAUUUUGAUGGUCACUCUAGAAAUAAUGUUCUUAGAUUUUAGGUUGUUUUAGUAUUCUCAAAUUUAUGAUUUUGCAGGCCACUCCACCUGGAUUAGUAGUCAGAAUGUUGACGCAUGAUUAAAGUACUGAGUUGCCUUUGCGUUACAUUACACUAGAUUGCUUGCAUUAGGGAAUUUUACCAUGACUUGUAUACUGAAUAAACAAAAGAAUUUCUAACAAACCUGACUGAUUUCUUGAUUGCAACAUUGAGUUGUUCUUUUUGGUGGUGAAAUAUUGAAGGGGGACAGAGGUUCAGCGAGUUUUCUGGAAGUCUGAAUUUGACUGGUGUGUUCAUAAUGUAGCUCGUCCAAAAAAAGACUGCUAUAUACAGUACUUCAGUCUAAACUUUGUGUCUUUCUAAUGUGUUGGAACAGGACCUUAAGGCCCUUCGAAUCUAAUUAUUUGAUUCUUGUUGUUACUAGCCGGUAAAAUCCAUAUCUUUUCGUCGUUUAGAUUUCAGUAUUCGAUUUCAGCUAAAUCUUUGAUAUUCUAAUUCAAAUCAUUCUGUAAUUGUGCACUCAUGGGCCUGAAUCCACGAGCACGCAACACCUCAAACAGAAAGGGCCAGACCAUCGAGUCAAAAGUCCGAGAGCUAUAUCUAACUUAAGGAGGAUCGCUGGGAUUUUUCUGUGAUGAAGUGUCUUAAUCGCUUGUUGAACCACCCAGAAGUUGUCAUGAAUGACACGAUCAUGCAUGAACGCGCUUUGAUUGUGACUGAUCAGGUUAGGGAGGCGGCCACUGAGCCUAAUGCCUAAUCGCCAAAAUCUUAGAGAAUAUUUUCCCGAAAUUAUGGACAAGGCUGAUAGGACAGAAAUUGGACAUGGACUCGGCACCGUCUACUUUAGGGAUUAGAUACAUAAAGGGCCUGGUUAAGAGAGCCGAAGCCUCUAGCCUGGAGGUGGAACAAAGAGUUUAGGGCUCCCGGGACAUCACUUUGAUUGCAUGCCAACACUUUUGAUAGAAGAGAAGCGGGAAGCCAUUGGGCCUCAGGGCUUUAUCAACCGGCAUGCAACAAAUCAGCUUCCAAAAUUCCUGCUCAGACCACUCCACCUACAGGCCCGCUAAGUCGAGAACAGAGAGGUCAAAGCGCCUAAAAGUUCAGGGAGCGAGAUCAAGCCUUGGGAGCGCAGAGCAAAUCCACAAAGAAAGUGUGUGCCUCUCUCUCCAGGUCCUUUUGGGAAGAAAGAAUCCCCUCCUCCGAGACCAGGUGCGGGCUGAAGUUUUUCUUUCAGCACAUGGCAGCCUGGACAUGGAAAAAUCUAAUAUUGAAAUUCCCCUCUUUGAGCCAAAAAGCUUCGAACGCUUGCGCGUCAGGAUGCGCUCGAGCGAGGCGAGAGCGAGACACAACAAAUCGAACAGCUUGCGAAACCCAGAUUCUGCUGCAGAGAGCACGCCCGUGUCAUGGGCGUUAAGAAUCGAGGCGGAGAAUAAGCUCAUGGGCCAUGUAAAGCUACAGCUUGAUGUUGCCCACCUUGCACUCGCUACAACAACAAAGGCCAUCGGCUGUCGCACAUCCAGAAGCCUAGAGGGAGAAACCCACUGGUAUCCACUGGCGUCCACAAUCGCUAAACUUCAGUCAGGAAGCCUGGCAGCGAAGGGCAGAAAAAAUGAAGUGGAACCACCUUUUGACAUGAGCCGCGAGAGCUAAGCUCAUGAGCAGGGGGGAGUUAUAGGACACCAAGGCCUCCUAUGGGAGUUGAUAACGCUCGCUUGAUUGAUUUCUUUUGUGGUAUGAGAGCUACCUUCUCCACACGUCUAGUGUUCAUGGCAGCGAGCUCCUACUCGGAUUAUAUUUAAAAAAGUUCAUGUACUAUGCAUGCUAGUAUUUCAUAAGGAAACGGAUAUAAUUUUCAUGGAAGUAGGUAGUUGAAUAUUUGUUGGAUCAAGGGGGGUUUACUUA